UACGAAGGGGGCUAGCGUUGUUCGGAUUUACUGGGCGUAAAGCGCACGUAGGCGGAUUGUUAAGUCAGGGGUGAAAUCCUGGAGCUCAACUCCAGAACUGCCUUUGAUACUGGCAAUCUAGAGUCCGGAAGAGGUGAGUGGAACUCCUAGUGUAGAGGUGGAAUUCGUAGAUAUUAGGAAGAACACCAGUGGCGAAGGCGGCUCACUGGUCCGGUACUGACGCUGAGGUGCGAAAGCGUGGGGAGCGAACAGG
Molecule: ribosomal RNA, 253 nt
Filed under: uncultured bacterium
Lineage: Bacteria
Description: partial 16S ribosomal RNA
Rfam family: Bacterial small subunit ribosomal RNA
Source: RNAcentral